AGUUGCUGCUGGUUCUCUAAGGGAGCAUGUGCACGCUUGUCAUCUUUAUAUCUCUCCACCUGUGCACCUUUUGUAGCCUGGAUAUCUUUCUGAAUGCCCCCUGGCAUUUAGUUUUGAGGAUUGACUUUUGUCUUGUGUCCUGUGACAUUUUCAGGCCUAUGUUUCUUCAUAUACCCCCAAUGUAUGUUAUAGAAUGUAAUAAAUGGGCCUUUGUGCCUUUAAAUCUAUACAACUUUCAGCAACGGAUCUCUUGGCUCUCGCAUCGAUGAAGAACGCAGCGAAAUGCGAUAAGUAAUGUGAAUUGCAGAAUUCAGUGAAUCAUCGAAUCUUUGAACGCACCUUGCGCUCCUUGGUAUUCCGAGGAGCAUGCCUGUUUGAGUGUCAUUAAUAUAUCAACUUCCUCAAGUUUUUGCUUGUUGAGUGUUGGAUGUGGGGGGUAUUUUUUGCUGGUCCCUCUUUCUGAGGUCAGCUCCCCUGAAAUGCAUUUAGCGGGAACAAUUUGUUGACCGUUCAUUGGUGUGAUAACUAUCUACGCUAUUGACGUGAAGCAGGUUCAGCUUCUAACAGUCCAUUGACGUUGGACAA
Molecule: ribosomal RNA, 585 nt
Filed under: uncultured Cortinarius
Lineage: Eukaryota; Fungi; Basidiomycota; Agaricomycetes; Agaricales; Cortinariaceae
Description: eukaryotic LSU rRNA
Rfam family: 5.8S ribosomal RNA (bases 231-384)
Source: RNAcentral